AUCAUUACAUCACCCAGGUAUUAAGCUCAGUCCCCAAUAGUUAUCUUUUCUGCUCCUCUUCCUCCUCCCACCCUCCCCACUCAAGUAGACUCCAGUGUCUGUUAUUUCCUUCUUUCUGUUCGUAAGCUCUUAUCAUUUAGCUCCCACUUAUAUGUAAGAACAUGUGGUGUUUGGUUUUCUGUUCCUGCGUUAGUUUGCUGAGGAUGAUAGGCUCCAGCUCCAUCCAUGUUCCCACAAAAGCCAUGAUCUUGUUCUUUUUUAUGGCUGCAUAAUAUUCCAUGGUGUAUAUGUACCACAUUUUCUUUAUCCAGUCUGUCAUUGACAGGCAUUUAGGUUGAUUCCAUGUCUUUGCUAUCGUGAACAGUGCUGCAGUGACCAUUCACGUGUAUGUGUCUUUAUGGUAAAAUGCUUUAUAUUCGUCUGGGUAUACACCCAGUAAUGGGAUUGCUGGGUUGAUGGUAGUUCUUCUUUUAGCUCAGAAAGGCAAUAUUCAAAGACAGGAGAAUAAACUGGGGUGAGAGAGAGAAGGAGUGAAGAAAGGAGAAAAGAAGAGAGAAGAGAGAGGAAGAGAAGGUUCUAUGGAGCUCUAAGUGUUCUAUCUGGUCUGCCCGAGUUAGUAGAGGGAUAAGAAUAAAGAAAAAAAAUGUUACUAUUCCUCUACGGCCCAUCACACACAUGGGUGAAUCAAAUGGGCAAAGCAAGAGUAGAAUUUUACACCACCAUGCCGUAAACCUGGAUUGUUUUGACUGUUGAGCAUCUCCUCUCUCUUUUCUAUUCUUUUUCUUUCUCUUUCUUUCUUUCUUUCCUUCUUUCUUUCUUUCUUUCUUUCUUUCUUUCUUUCUUUCUUUCUCUCUCUCUCUCUCUCUUUCUUUCUCGCUUUCUCUUUCUUUCUCUCUUUCUUUCUCUCUCUCUCUCUCUCUCCCUCUCUCUCUUCUUUUCUUUUCUUUUGAGACGGAGUUUCACUCUUGUUGCCCAGGCUGGAGUGCAGUGGCGCAAUCUCGGCUUACUGAAACCUCCACCUCCCGGGUUCAAGCGAUUAUCCUGCCUUAGCCUCCCAAGUAGCUGGGACUACAGGUGUGUGCUACCACACCCAGCUAAUUUUGUAUUUUUAGCAGAGAUGGGGUUUCACCAUGUUGGUCAGGCUGGUCUCGAACCCCUGACCUCAGAUAAUCCACCCACCUCAGCCUUCCAAAAUGCUGGGAUUACAGACGUAAGCCACUGCACCCGGCCUCACUUUCUUUUACCCACAUCAGUCCUGAUAAUUUCCAGUCCCAGCAUCCUGCCUUCUCCCUCACUCCCGUAGAAGGACUGGGCAAGUGACCAGGCCAAUCAGAGUUCCCCAAUAUCCUGGCCAUGUGGAUUGGUCCAGCUAUGGGCACGUGACCUUAGCUAAGCCAAUCACCUAUUCAGAAUGUUUUUUGUUCUUUAAUACAGAGCUGUGAGAGACAGGGUCUUGGCUUUUGAAUAAUGGGGCUGAAAGAAGUGAGUCAGGGACUGCCAGGGGCUGUCUCCUAUACCAUGAGGAGAAAUCUCGUCUAUAGGGAGAACGAGCCAAAAGAUGGAAAGUCAUUGAGAGGGAGAGGGAGAGGGACAUUGAAGUGGGGGAGAGAAAGAGAGAGACAUAAUAUAAUGUUGAGCUUUAAAUCAGCUCUAUCUAGACUUAGAAAAGCCAAUAACUUCCCACUUUUCUUGGACUGAUUUGAGUUGGUUUUUUGCUACUUUAGCCAAGUGGUCCCCGUGAUGGCUCCCCAUUUCUUUAGAUGAAAAUCCCAAGCCCUCACGUUGGCAUGCCAGGACACACCUGCCCUAGCCUCAAUGGCCUCAUCUCCCGUCCCUCUCGCCAUUGCUUACUCCGCUGCAGCCAUUCCUGCCUCCUUGCUUGUUCGUCAAACGUGCCAGGCCCUACUUCAUACGGAUUAAAUCAGACUUUUUGAGUGGGAUCAGGACAUUAGUAUUUUAUUUGUUUUUAAUUUAAUUUUAUGUUUUGAGACAGGGUCACUCUGUUGCCCAGGCUGGAGUGCAGUGGCACGAACACGGCUCGCUGCAGCCUCGACCUCCCAGGCUCAUGCGAUCCUUCUAAUACUCACCGUUAGCUGGGACCUCAGCCAGCCAGUUAACCAAAAUGUAUGCGUGUGGCCUCCCCAGGUGUUCUCUUCACAUGGGCUAGUUGGACUUCCUCACUACAUGGUGGCUGGUGUGCAAGAGUGAGUGGCUCCAGAAAGCAAGGAGGACAUGCCUAUGAUUUUUUAUGCUCUAGCCCUGGAAGUCAAAUAGCAUCUUUUCUGCUGUAAUCUUAAUCUUAAUGAUUGAGGCAGUUGCUAAGGUUCAAGUGGAAGGGAUCAUAGACUUCAUCACUCAACAUGAGAAAUAGAAGCUUACAACCACCUGUCCUCAGCCUCCCAAGUAGCUGGGACUACAAGCAUGUGCCACCAUGCCUGGCUAAUUUUUUGAAUUUUUUGGAGAGACAGAGUCUCACUAUGUUGCCCAGGUUGGUCUUGAAUUCCUGGGCUCAAGUGAUCCACCCGCCUUGGCCUCCCAAAGUGCUGGGAUUGCAGAUGUGAGCCACUGGGCCCGGCCGGUGACAUUGGUAUUUUUAAAAAGGUACUCAGUGAUUUCAAUGUGUAGCUAGAGCUGAGAAUCACUCCUUCAGACUAAUAAAGAAGGUCAAUGGCUAUUAAGGCAACUACCCUAAAGAAUUAACUUAAAGUCUAUGUGUAAGUUUGUCUCUUGUCAACAUAGAGUCUAGUUUCCUUCUAAUUUUGAUUAUAAAAUAGGAAAGCAUUUUCCUAUACUAUAAAAAAGUUUGCUUUAAGAGUCCCAGGACUGAUUUAUUAUGACCUUGAGAUUUAAAAACAUUUAUUAUUGGAAACCAUGUUUGUUUGAACCAUGUUUGUUUGAAUGUUUAUUGUAGAAAAGUCCAUUUUUCCUUUUAAAGUCAUAAACUAAAUUUGUUACAGGAGGUUGAUUUUGUGUUCCAAGCCUGUGAUCAUUAACUGUUUUCCAGCUCUACCAGCAUCCUGUCCAAGCCUUUAAGAUGAGGAACAAAUUCUAUGUGAGGAGAAAUGGCAAAAAUUGGUAUGCCUCUGCUUUUCUGAUUUCCCAUUCCCUUCCAUUUCUCUUAUUAACAAGUAAAAGUAAGGAAAUCCUGUCCUGUGGAUAACUUCCCAUUGACUUGCAGAGAGCUCAGACAUGCUAUGGUAGAUAUGGAUACUAUUUUGUUUUUGUUUUUUGAGAUGGAGUCUUGCUCAGUCACCCAGGCUGGAGUGCAGUGGCAUGAUCUCAGCCCACUGCAAACUCCGCCUCCCAGGUUCAAGUGAUUCUCCUGACUCAGCCUCCCGAGUAGCUGGGAUUACAAGCAGAUGCCACCACACCCAGCUAAUUUUUGUAUUUUUAGUAGAGACAAGGUUUAACCAUCUUUACUAAACAGACUAGGCCCGUCUUGAACUCCUGACUUCAAGUGAUCUGCCCGCCUCAGCCUCCCAACGUGCUGGGAUUAUAGGUGUGAGACACUGCACCUUGCCAAUGGUGAAUAUUGUUGAUUUAAAAUAAUAGAUAUAAUAAAUCUCCAAUCUCAGGGAAGUUUCCAAGUCCUAAAGUCAAAACUUCCGAUCUUGCCGUGUGCUUGAAUUAUCCUCAAUUAGAGUCCCUGCUGCUGUUGCAUGUCGCUGUAAUUAUUCUGUCAUCGUUAAUUCAAUGAAGCCUAUUAACCCACAUCAGAUAGUGUAUUUAUCUACAAUGCAUGUUACCUGCUCCUCUAGAUAAGACAGCUGUCAUACUUCAAGUCUGCUGUCUCUUUGUUGAGGUCCAGUAGUGUCAGUCUGCAAGUGUUUCAUGUUUCAUAUACAUUACAGAAUCCCCAUUAAUGGUUGAUAUGAUUAGGCUUUGUGUCCCCACCCAAAUCUCAUCUUGAAUUACAUUCCCUAUAAUCCCCACAUGUCAAGGGAGAGACCAGGUGGAGAUAAUUAAAUAAUGGGGGCAGUUUCCCCCACGCUGUUUUCAUGACAGUGAGUUCUCACGAGAUCUGAUGGUUUUAUAAGGAACGCUUCCCUCUUUGCUCGGCAUUUCUCCUUCCUGCUGCCUUGUGAAGAAGAUGCAUUGUUUUCCUCUUCACUUUCUGCCACAAUUGUAAGUUUCCUGAGGCCUCCCCAGCCAUGCUGAACUGUAAGUCAAUUAAACCUCUUUCCUUUAUAAAUUACACAGUCUCAGGCAGUUCUUUACAGCAGUAUGAAAAUGGAGUAAUACAAUGAUGUUCUUAUAACUUCCCAGACUGGAAGGCUUGCUGGUCUUGUGAGAUACUGAACUGGAGACAGCAGAAAAAUGCAUCCUCCUGAUAUUGACUUUGGACUUGCACUGGAAUUACACCCCAGCUUUCCUGAUUCUACAGUUUGAAGAUGGUAGAUUGUGGGACUUCUCAGACUCCAUAAUGAGGGCUUGGAGGCUGUAGCAGUGAGUGGUGCUGCUGUCCUAAUGUCCUGACUAUACCGGGAGCCACUCUUCGAUCAUUCUUCUGUCCAUUCAGAUGAGUAGAGAUGGGCUGCAUGAACGGUUUUAUCCCCAGGAUCAAGUGGAGCAUCUGGCAUGGAACAGCCAGCCACUCAAUGCGAGGGGCUUUGUGGAGAGCUGUCCAUCAUCCUUGCCUGCCCAAGGACAAUGACUUCUCAGCUUUCACCAUGCAUCCUGCAGCCAUGGAGGGAAGCAAAAUUAACUGGUCUCCAUCAGCCUCCCCAUCAAACAUUUGCUGAGCACCCAUCAUGUGCAAAAUAUUGACUAGGAACUGUGGGAGAUGGGAAGAAUUCUGGAAACUCCUAACUCUCAAGGAAUUUGCAGGGUUAUCAGACAGUUGCCACACAAAGACAUAAAAACAUCCCCUGCUAAAAUAAAGACCACGCCAGAUAUGUGCUGUAGGUAUUCACCCCUGCAGGAACUCUGGGGAAAAUGGGGCAGGAGGAGUCACCCUUGGAUGUCACAAAUGGCUCUCCAAAGGAAAUAGAACAACAUCGCAGCAUGAAUUCUGAAGCCGGCCCACCUGCCUGCCUUGAAUUACAGCUUCCACCAGCUGUCUGGCCUUGGACAAACUACUUAACUCUCCACAUCUGUCAAAUGGGGAUAAUAAUAUAACAAUCCCCCAAUAUUGUGAGGAUGAAAUAAGCUAAUACUUAGGAAAAGCUUGGAACAGUGCUUGGCACGUCUUAAGUGUGAUAUGUGUGAGCUCCUUCCUUGAUUCUCAUUCUGACUUGAAGAGGAUUUUUAGAGGGGAGACCCAGGGAACAGUGGGGCAGCCUAGACGGGUGGAAAGUGUUAUGCUGGAGGCUUAACCUAACCUGGUUCAAAACCUGGUUCUGCUAUUUCUACCAGUGUGACCUUGACUUAAACUCUCCAAAGCUCAGUUCCUCACUUAUAAAAUGGUAAUAACAAAACCAAUUUCAUUGAAAACGUAUGCUAACGAUGCCAUGAUAAAUAAUAGUUAUUAUUAAAGAGAAACACAGUAAAGAAGUUCCCAGAGGGAGGUGAAUAAAUUAAGCAUGAUGACGUGCCUUGCUACUUCCCCAUCUUUCUCUUCUUCCCCCAGAUUUGUUCAAGGUCUCAUCAUUACUGGUUUGCAUUUCUAUUUUAAUCAUGUUAUAGGUUUACAGUAUUUUUCCCCCUGCAUCUUUAUAUGCUAUAAUUUGGGUACUAUUUUUACACAACGAAGCCAUUUUUAACCGAGAACAGAUUCAAUUGUCUUUCAGCAUAUAUCAUUGUUUAUCUUAAUUAAUGCUAAAAUAUUCUUAGGGGGAAAAACACAUCCCACAGAGUAUUAUGCGAAGAAACUUAGCAUUCAUUUUUGCCUCCCUCUUUUCUGGCAUAUCAAUUUAUAAAGGUUUUAGCAUCCUGUUAUUUCAAUGACAAUAAUGCAUGCUCUUAAACGCAGACACCCAUCUGUGGGAAGCAAGUCACAGGGUGUCAACAGCAGCAAGGUGUGUGUUGCAGUGGAGGUGGAGGAUUGACAGCUGGAAGAAGAAGGGGAUUUUGCUGGUGAGAAUAAUGCCAAGUGAAGUCAUAGGCUUUGUCUCUGAUUGAUCCAUGGAAACAUUCCUUGAGUAGAGCUGAAUCUAGCUAGAUUCCAUGCUUGGAGUCUUUCUUAGUAAGGCUACUACUAUAAGCACAGAUGAUGGAAAAUGGAUGAUGUUUUUAUUCAUCAUCCAUUCUCUUUCCUUCAAAUAAGAUGCCCCAUGCACCUCUGAGGGAAUGACCCUUUACACACUCAACCUAAGUUUUUUGCCUCUCCCUCCAGCUCUAGGGUGGGCAUGUGAUAUAGAACUGACCAAUCAAUAUCUAUUAUCUUUCUGGCCACAGUGAUUGGGCAAGGGAUAGCCAUGUGACCCAAUCAGAGCCAAGAGACUCAGUUUUGAGGCUUUAGAUAGAACCACUGGGAAAGAGGGUUCUCUUUCUACUGGGAUGCUGACCUGGCAGGAAUAUUACCCAGAGCUGCCUGUGACCAUCUUUACUAUGAAAAGGGGAGAGCUUGCCAAAGAAUGAAGCUGUAUUAUAGUCUGUUCUCAUGCUGCUAAUAAAGACAUACCUGAGAUGGGGUAAUUUAUAAAGGAAAGAGGUUUAAUGGACUCAAAGUUCCACAUGUCUGGGGAGGCCUCACAAUCAUGGCAGAAGGCAAACGAGGAGCAAAGUCACGUCGUACAUGGUGGAAGGCAGGAGAGCGUGUGCAGGGAAACUCCCCUUCAUAAAACUAUCAGAUCUCGUGAGACUUACGAGAACAACACAGGAAAGACCCGCCCCCAUGAUUCAUUUACCUCCCACUGGGUCCCUCCCAUGACACAUGGGAAUUAAGGGAGCUACAAUUCGAGAUGAGAUUUAGGUGGGGACACAGCCAAACCAUAUCAGAAGCCAAUAUGAAAGAAAACAGAACUGAGAGAUGGAGGCAGACUCUUGAUGACAACUCCUGGACCCUGGAUCAAUUUUUGUUUAAAGCCAGUCUGCACUCUGCAUCUUUGAUGUAAACCAAUGUAUUUCCUUUAUUUGUUUGUUUAAACUAAAUUAAGUCAUUUGUAAUUUAAAGAGUUCAGAGAGGUGCCGUGUUUCAGUAGGGAACUGUAAAAAGCCAGGAUAUUCUGUAAAUUAGAAGGGAAUAAUGUGGUGUUGACCACAUCUGGGAGAAUGUGCAUCUGAGGGUGUCUUGCAUGCCAAACUCACUUGUCUUCCUAAUCAAGCAAUAGUUUGGUAACUGAGAAGUUCCAAGUAGCCUUUAAGUCACACAAUCAUACUAGAGGAACUCCUAAGAACCUGGGUGACAUUGUGAUAUAAAAUGUGGAACUUCACUAGGUUAUGCAAGAACCUCUGAAAAGGGUUGAUAGGAAGGGUGUACGUUAGGUGUGUAAAGAACUAGGUGUGGGGGAACUAACUAGUACAAAAGGGAUCUGGUGAAUUUGGAUUCUACCCUACUCGAGAUGAUGUUGGAGGGCUCUGAUCAAAGUAGGGGUUUGGGGGCAGAAUUAUGACAAGUAUCUAUAGGAAGUCACUAUCUUUUAUUAAAAAUUUGUUGUGAACCUGUCCUCACUCAUAGUUGGGAAUUGAACAAUGAGAACACAUGGACACAGGAAGGGGAACAUCACACUCUGGGGACUGUUGUGGGGAGGGGGGAGGGAUAGCAUUAGGAGAUAUACCUAAUGCUAAAUGACGAGUUAAUGGGUGCAGCACACCAGCAUGGCACAUGUAUACAUAUGUAACUAACCUGCACAUUUGUGCACAUGUACCCUAAAACUUAAAGUAUAACAAAAAAUUUGUUGUGAACCAGAUACUGUACUAAAUGACUUACCUACACUGUUGUAUUUAAUUCUCUCAACAACCUGAUGAGUUCUGUAUCUUAUUAUAUCCAUUUUACAUGUAAGGGAGCUGAGGCUUAGAAAGCUGGAGUGACUUGGUCUGCCAUGGCUAGGAUUUCAGCUCAUGUCUGUAUGACUCGAAAGCAUCUAGUGGGUGGUAACAUUGGUUUGUAGACUUGAAACAACUUUGGCUAAUGACUGGGGCACAUGGAAGAGGGGACAGAGUCCAGCUUCCAAAGUUAGAAGGCUACCAAAACUAAGGUUUUGGUCAGAGAUUCAACAUUCCAGGGGCAGACCCUGAUCCCAAUGGGAGAGUAGAUUUGAUAGGGAAACUGAGGCAGGAUCCUGGGACUGGAGCCAACACAGGGAGCAUUAGUUGGGAGGGUUGUUGUGACCAGUCAACAUACUUCUGGGGGCUUGUGGCAAAGAACAAACACAGAACUCCAAAUGAAUUCCCUGCCAGAGCUUGUUCAGAGUUGGCUUGGGAUAGGAGAAUCUGAGGGGAGUAUGAGGCUGACAGAGAAAAAAGAGAGUCUUGUGGAAUCCUAAGAUUUAAAAAGAGAGGAAGAAAAGAUGCCUUUUAUUUAUUAAACAGUGAUUACGAAAUACCUAACACAUGGCCACGAUUAGACUAGGCUCUUCCCAUACAUGAAGCUCAGAGAGGUCAAGUGAGUUGUUCAGGGUAACACAGGAGCUGUGCCUGGGUAUGAAGCUGUAUCUGCUCAAACAUAAAGGUCUUUUCAUGGUGCCAGAGUCUACAUUUCCCAGAGUACUAAGAUAGUGACUUGAUCAUCAGCACUAAAUAUGUGUCGUAAAGAUAGCUCACAUUUACAGAUAUUAUAGCUACUCUGUGCCCUGCAAGGUGCUAACGACUUUACUUGGAUUAUCUCAACUUAUCCCCCAGACAACCUAUGACGUUUAGCCAGGCAUCAUCAUCAUCAUCAUCAUCAUCAUAUCAUCGUUAUCCUCAUCCUCAUCCUCAUCAUUGUUCUUGAAUGAUGAAAAUUGGAGCUCAGAAACUCAACCUGUGUCAAGAUUACAAAGCUAGCAAUUCUGGGUCAGAACCUGAACCCAGGCAGCCCGCACUUUCGAUGUGCCCAAGCUUAUAUCUCCACCUACAACUCUGCCUCAGUUUCUCCCUCUGUAAAAUGAAGACAGUAAUAAGGCACCUCACAAGGUUAUUGUGAGAACAAAAUGAACCGCUGCAUACUAGGAGCUUAACAGACUGGCAAAGAAAACUCCAUCAAUGUUGGCUUUCAUCGGGGCUAUUUUAAUUUUUGCAUCACCCUCUUCAAAAGGGCACUUCUCGCUUUCCCACGGCUAAGCUGCCACACUCAAGUGUGCUGGAAAAAAAGGCUGGGUAGCUCACAACGUGCGGGGGCAUCUUAGUGUAAUCCUGGGGUGAGAGAUAAAAGAAGCUCGCUUGACAUAACUUCAUAAACCCAUUUUAAUCUAAACAUUGAUUUUCCUUUGGAACAAUCCCUUUCCCCUUGCUCACAGUCCCACCACGCCUCUAAUACAGACGUGGGUAUUGAUAACAUUAUUGAGAUAAAACAGUCGCCUCUUUCUUAUUCCCUUUAUUCAUCAGUCACCCCAGGCCUGUCUUUGUCUUUUUUCAUCCUCUGCUACCCAGCAUUAUUCAUUGGAGUGCCUUCUUUUCCCUCACCCUCCAUAACUCAAGGUGAAAGUUUUCAGUAAUGACAAGUAGUAAAAUAUGAGAGAUUUAAGCAAAUUCAACUGGAAAUAAUGUGAAAAAAUAUUAUUCGCUCCGGACACAUGCUUCUCUUUUGAUCUUCCUUGUCCAAGAUACAUUUUAAAAAAAAUACUCCUUUGAUAACAAGAAGUGAGCAGGGGCUAAAAGGAAACCUUAUGUCUUUGUUGGGAAAUAAUUAGUCUGAUCGAAUCGCUUGCUUUCUGAUGGACAAAGGAGUCUUUAAAGAAAAUCAUUUGUGUUCUCUGGGCCCCUUCAGGCAGCACAGCUUUCCGAGGCUUGGGCUUUUAGAUGAGAGUUUGGGGAAUGGAAAAUUUCCCUGAAUAAGAAAUCAGAGAGCUUGACCUACACAGUUACCUCUCUCUUAACAUGACAACAAUUGGCAAUUACUUUUUGAUCCAAAGUGUGAGGAUGAAUAUGGAAAGGAAGGGCGAAUCAUUCUCCUUCUUCUCAAGCUCAUUCUCUCUUUAGACCUGCACCUGAAGCUGAUUUUCUUUUCUUUUUUUUUUUUUUCCAGUCCCAGCAAUUCAAUAUAAUCUAUAGCUGGAAAUACCUAUGUUAGCUGCAGCUGGGGGAAAAAGCAGUUGGCAAAUUCAUGAAUCAGGGCUUCUUUUCUUUUUCGCUUGUGAAAGGUAACUUCCGACAGCUUAAGGGUGAUUUGGAAUGAAGCGUGGGUUGGUUCCUAGUGUCAGCACAUUGCCUAGUUGUUCCAGCCAGGCUGGCUGUAAUGAAGCGUGGACAUCCAUACAUAGUUUCAGUGUCAGGGACACCGGUGACUCUAAUGAAGAGAGGACCUUAACUUUGAUGCAGAAUCAUGAUUGUUUAUAGCUGUGUGGUGAAGAAUGGGCUCUGAAAUCCAUCGCACUUCGGUGAAAAUGCUGUUUGGUCUGCAAUGUGAAGCUGAUAGCUUAAUUUCUCUGAUACUCAGUGUCUUUACCUGUAAAAUGGUGCCAAUAUCAAAGUAGCUGUCUGGUAUAGCAGGGUUUCUUAAUCUUGGCAUUAUCAACAUUUGGGGCCAGGACAUUCUUCAUGGUGAGGGGCUGCCCUGGGCAUUGUAGGGUGUUUAGCAGCAUCGUUAGCUUCUACCCACUAGAUGCCAGUAGCACUCUCCCCCCACCCCAUUAUGACAACAAAAAUCGUCUCCAGACACUGCCAGUGUCCCCUGGGAGGCGCAAUCCCUCCUCCCUCCCCUCACCGAAAGCCGCUGCCAUGGAGCUAUUGUGAGAAUGAAAUGAAAUAAUCCAUACAAUGCUCUCAGCACUGUUUAGUAGACAGUACAUAGUAAAUGCUCAAUACGAAUUAGUUGUUACUCAGACACCAAGAGGGUAACAACAGGCGCACAGACACUGGGGCCUAUUUGAGGGUGGAGGAUGAGAGGAGGGAGAGGAGCAGAAAAAAUAACUAUUGGGUACUAGGCUUAGUACCUGGGUGAUGAAAUCACAAACCCUAGUGGCACAAGUUUACCUAUAGAACCAACCUGCACAUGUACAUCUGAAUCUAAAAUAAAAGUUUGAAAAAUGAAUAAAUAACUAUUACUUGUUACUGUAUUAAUAAAACUGUCAAU
Molecule: long non-coding RNA, 11092 nt
Filed under: Homo sapiens (human)
Lineage: Eukaryota; Metazoa; Chordata; Mammalia; Primates; Hominidae
Description: HSALNT0228221
Source: RNAcentral